CUUUUAUUUCUUUCUAUUGUCUGAUUGCUCUGACCAGGAGUUCCAAUACCAUGCUGAAUAGGAGUGGUGAGACAGGACAUUGUUAUCUUGUGCCUGUUUUCAAGCAGAAUACUUCCAGAUUUUGCCUAUUCAAUAUUAUGUUGGCUGUGGUUUUCUCAUAGAUGGCUCUUAUUUUGAAGUAUGUUCCUUCAUUGUCUAGUUUAUUGAGGGCUUUUGACAUGGAGAGAUGUUCAAUUUUAUCAAAAGCCUUUUCUGCCUCUAUUUAGAUUAUCAUGUGGUUUUUGUCUUUUGUUCUGUUUAUGUGAUGAAUCACAUUUAUUGAUUUGCCUAUGUUGAACCAACUUUGCUUCCCAGGGAUGAAGCCUACUUUAUCAUGGAGAAUUAGCUCCCUGUAUAUACACCAUUGAUGUGCCGCUGGAUUUGUUUUGCAAGUAUUUUGUUGAGGAUUUUUACAUCAACGUUCAUCAAGGAUAUUCGGCCAAACUGUUUUUUAUAUGUGUCCUGCUUCUUCUCACUGGGUGGGACCCCACAGCCUGGGACUCCAGCCAACCCCAACCAGGGCUCUCAGGCUGGUAGCAACUCGGCACUUCCCUAGGAUGCAGUGUGAAGAAGGAGAGUCCGGCCACCAGUUUUUGCUGCCUUGCAGUCUCUGCUGCUAUAGCCUUCAGGCUCUGGAGAGCAAGUGGUGAUUAGGGAGUGGCAUGGAUCCCCCACACAGCGCAACUGACCCAAGAUCCUGCUGCUAUUGCCUUCUGG
This 756-nucleotide long non-coding RNA is filed under the name Homo sapiens (human). RNAcentral's name for it is "HSALNT0186327". Lineage: Eukaryota; Metazoa; Chordata; Mammalia; Primates; Hominidae. The record is from RNAcentral.